CUGAGCCCCAGCUGAGCAGAGGUUGGCUGCUCUUGUGCCUAAGGCAUGGGCUGGAACUCACAAGAUCUGGCUUUAGUUCCCAGUUUUGCCGCUGACUCCAUGUGUGACCUUUAAAGAGUCACUUCAUUUCUCUGUGCCUCAGUUUCACUAUCUGUGAAAUGGGUAACAUUGCUUGUCUAUUUGUAUUGUAACCAUCUCUCGCUCUGUGUCCUUGCAGUGCCAGAGCAAGGGUACCCAAUCUCAGUUCAGGUUUGUGCAGCACCUGGCACAAAGGGGCCCUAAUCUCAGGUGGGGCUGGUAGGCAGCACUGUAAUAUAAAUAAGUAAUAGCUAUAAGAGAAAUCUAUUUGCAUCCUGGAAAACAACAGCGCUUGCUCCAUAAAUUUCACACACUCCUGGAUGAAUGGUCGUUAUCCAGUGCUCCUCGGGGUGGAGCAUGUGGGUGUGGCACCAUGUGUUGUUAUUUCAAAUGGAAACUCCCCAUUCUCUCAUCUUCCUUUUAGAGUUAAAGAUGUCCAAAGAAUUCAACGUGUUUAACAGUCGACUUCUUAAUGAGUUAAAGAUGUCCAAAGAAUUCAACGUGUUUAACAGUCGACUUCUUAAUGGUAUGUUCUGCUGAUGUUUCUCAAGAGGUUGGGCAUAAAUAGUUCCCUUGUCACAAGACGUGCACUAAAAUCAUGGGGGUUGCCCAUGGGUGGGGUCUCUCCCUUUGAGGCGCCCAUGUACAGCAGUUCUUUUCUGCCCCCUGUUAUUUUCAGUGUCCAAGGAGCUGGCUGGCAGGAAAUGUCUGGGAGUGAGAACAAUGCAAUGGGGGCAUAGCACAAUGCGCUCCCACAAUUGCCCCUUCCACAUUAACACAAGGAGAGCUUGGGCCCGACAAAUACAUUCCUUUCCUUUUUAACUUUGCAACCAGCUAACCACACACAAACCGAGACAGGCUCCU
This 942-nucleotide long non-coding RNA is filed under the name Chrysemys picta bellii (western painted turtle). RNAcentral describes it as "lncRNA (ENSCPBG00000006328.1)". Lineage: Eukaryota; Metazoa; Chordata; Testudines; Emydidae. The record is from RNAcentral.